AAAAACAUCGCCUCUUGCUAAUAAAGUAUAAGAGGUCCUGCCUGCCCUGUGACAUAAUGUUCAACGGCCGCGGUAUCUUGACCGUGUGAAGGUAGCGUAAUCAUUUGUCUUUUAAAUGAAGACCUGUAUGAAUGGCGUGACGAGAGCUUAACUGUCUCACUCUUUUAGUCAAUGAAAUUGAUCUCCCCGUGCAGAAGCGAGGAUAAACACAUAAGACGAAAAGACCCUAUGGAGCUUUAGAAUCUGAAGCAGCCCAGAUAAAUAUUAUACAAAAUACAGGACCCUGCUCUCACAUUUCUUCGGUUGGGGCGACCAUGGAGAAAAACAAAACCUCCACGAAAAAAGUACUAAUACUUGUAUGAAUUAACGAAACACAACCCUAAAUUCCAGAAUCUCUGUUUAUAAAUGAUCCGGCUUCAUUUUAAAGCCGACCAACGAAUCAAGUUACCCUAGGGAUAACAGCGCAAUCCCCUUCUAGAGUCCACAUCGACAAGGGGGUUUACGACCUCGAUGUUGGAUCAGGACAUCCUAAUGGCGCAGCCGCUAUUAAGGGUUCGUUUGUUCAACGAUUAAAGUCCUACGUGAU
This 586-nucleotide ribosomal RNA is filed under the name Melanorivulus schuncki. RNAcentral describes it as "partial 16S ribosomal RNA". It matches the Rfam family "Bacterial large subunit ribosomal RNA", at positions 1809 to 2604 of the family's 2925-position model. The record is from RNAcentral. Lineage: Eukaryota; Metazoa; Chordata; Actinopteri; Cyprinodontiformes; Rivulidae.